Molecule: unclassified non-coding RNA, 179 nt
Filed under: soil metagenome
Description: partial internal transcribed spacer 1
Source: RNAcentral
CCGAGUUUUCAACUCCCAAACCCCAUGUGAACUUAUACCUAACUGUUGCCUCGGCGGGGUCUACGCCCCGGUGCUUAAGCCCGGAACCAGGCGGCCCGCCGGAGGAACCACCAAACUCUUCUGUAUUCCCUCUCUACGUAUUUCUUAGCAGCUCUGAGGCAAUAAUUACAAAUGAAUCA